RNAcentral lists this ribosomal RNA (468 nucleotides) under uncultured bacterium. RNAcentral describes it as "partial 16S ribosomal RNA". It matches the Rfam family "Bacterial small subunit ribosomal RNA", at positions 28 to 507 of the family's 1533-position model. The record is from RNAcentral.
GACGAACGCUGGCGGCGUGCUUAACACAUGCAAGUCGAACGGAAAGGCCCUGCUUUUGUGGGGUGCUCGAGUGGCGAACGGGUGAGUAACACGUGAGUAACCUGCCCUUGACUUUGGGAUAUCUUCAGGAAACUGGGGGUAAUACCGGCUAGGAGCUCCUGCUGCAUGGUGGGGGUUGGAAAGUUUCGGCGGUUGGGGAUGGACUCGCGGCUUAUCAGCUUGUUGGUGGGGUAGUGGCUUACCAAGGCUUUGACGGGUAGCCGGCCUGGGAGGGUGACCGGCCACAUUGGGACUGAGAUACGGCCCAGACUCCUACGGGAGGCAGCAGUGGGGAAUAUUGCACAAUGGGCGGAAGCCUGAUGCAGCAACGCCGCGUGCGGGAUGACGGCCUUCGGGUUGUAAACCGCUUUCGCCUGUGACGAAGCGUGAGUGACGGUAAUGGGUAAAGAAGCACCGGCUAACUACGUG